GAGGCGGCCGACGCGGUCAGAUGGCGAUGGCGCAAGGCGCGGCGUGGCCGGGCGGAGCCGGCCACGGCCUGGCGCGGGCGGCACGCGAAGGCCGGGGAGCGGCGCUGACGCGGCCAGGAACGGCCACGACGCGGGCGAGCGUGGCCACGGCCGGCGACGAGGGCGCGAGGCGCGGCCGUGCGGCAAGUUUUGAGGCCUGGUGCUCUCGGUUACGAGCGUGCUGAUAACGUGUUUGAAGAUCAAAAUGAGAGAGACUCGAUCGAUGCAAAGCAGUAAUGAGAAAUAGAUGUCUUUAUUGAUGAGAGUGCUGCUAUUUAUACAGAGCCAAGGGACGCUUCUCAAUAGGCGCCCAUACAGGAGGAUGCGAGCAACCGUUGCGAUUGUUGCCAAAAGACAACUGCCGCCGGUUCCUAUAAAGCAGGGAUUAACCCAUUAAUUAAC
This 441-nucleotide ribosomal RNA is filed under the name Triticum aestivum (bread wheat). Its description in RNAcentral is "partial small subunit ribosomal RNA". The record is from RNAcentral. Lineage: Eukaryota; Viridiplantae; Streptophyta; Magnoliopsida; Poales; Poaceae.